This 625-nucleotide ribosomal RNA is filed under the name Saccharomyces cerevisiae (brewer's yeast). RNAcentral describes it as "eukaryotic LSU rRNA". It matches the Rfam family "Eukaryotic large subunit ribosomal RNA", at positions 49 to 664 of the family's 3401-position model. Lineage: Eukaryota; Fungi; Ascomycota; Saccharomycetes; Saccharomycetales; Saccharomycetaceae. The record is from RNAcentral.
AGCGGAGGAAAGAACCAACCGGGAUUGCCUUAGUAACGGCGAGUGAAGCGGCAAAAGCUCAAAUUUGAAAUCUGGUACCUUCGGUGCCCGAGUUGUAAUUUGGAGAGGGCAACUUUGGGGCCGUUCCUUGUCUAUGUUCCUUGGAACAGGACGUCAUAGAGGGUGAGAAUCCCGUGUGGCGAGGAGUGCGGUUCUUUGUAAAGUGCCUUCGAAGAGUCGAGUUGUUUGGGAAUGCAGCUCUAAGUGGGUGGUAAAUUCCAUCUAAAGCUAAAUAUUGGCGAGAGACCGAUAGCGAACAAGUACAGUGAUGGAAAGAUGAAAAGAACUUUGAAAAGAGAGUGAAAAAGUACGUGAAAUUGUUGAAAGGGAAGGGCAUUUGAUCAGACAUGGUGUUUUGUGCCCUCUGCUCCUUGUGGGUAGGGGAAUCUCGCAUUUCACUGGGCCAGCAUCAGUUUUGGUGGCGGGAUAAAUCCAUAGGAAUGUAGCUUGCCUCGGUAAGUAUUAUAGCCUGUGGGAAUACUGCCAGCUGGGACUGAGGACUGCGACGUAAGUCAAGGAUGCUGGCAUAAUGGUUAUAUGCCGCCCGUCUUGAAACACGGACCUCCUGUGUGAAGUGAAUCCGCUA